RNAcentral lists this long non-coding RNA (3090 nucleotides) under Mus musculus (house mouse). RNAcentral's name for it is "long non-coding RNA chr7:27207092-27210182". Lineage: Eukaryota; Metazoa; Chordata; Mammalia; Rodentia; Muridae. The record is from RNAcentral.
UCACUCUCCCAAGGUGAUUGAUACCCCAGCAUAGAAGUCCAGACUGUGAAUCUCAGAUGCCAAGAAAAUACCCACAAUGUUGAUUUUGUCCUGUUUAUUGGGGUGCCACUGUAGGCCGGAGGUACAGUAAAGUCAUUUUGCCUCAAUUCCCUGACACCACCACCCCAGGUAACUACCACGUAUAUAAAUAUAUAUAUAUAAAGUCUGUCAGUAGAAAAGGAAGACGUGUCAGCCUUGGCAGACCUUAGGGCUUCACCUUAGAGAAGAGGUAGGUUCCUUGCCAAGCCCAUCCAUAUGGGCCAGGAAGCCGAGGUUCUGGAGCACAGAACACAUUGUUUCUCCCCCACCCCAGAGUUCUAGAGUCUUUGGUUAGAACCACGUAGUCCAUGGUUAGGGCCAGUAGCCACACCCUUUGUGCUUCUGAGCAACCUGGCACUUCAUUCUGCGUGUGAUCAGGGCACUUAUACAGUGAAGCAAGGCUGUCUGGUUCCCAUGGAGAAGCCUCCUCCCCUGCCUCAGAAACUCCUUCCUGUCACUGGAUUCUGCUGGGACAAGAGCUGGGCUGUCAGGGCCAGGAGGAGGAAGUCCUGAGGCUGGAGCUGGUGCACCAAGGAAGGAAGAUGGAUGGUCACAGUGCUGGUACAGAUGGGUAUGGCUGUGGCCUGGGUCUGCAGUAGCUCGGAGUCCACAAGGAACAGAAGGGAUCCUUCCCCGCCCUGGCAGGGAGGAGGGCAAGCUGGCCCUGUGCAGAAGCACUAGGCCUCAGGUAGCAUCAGCAAGCGUCCCAGGAAGACAUCCUCCUCUCAGCACCAGGAUGGGGAUCUUACUGGCCCAGGUGGACAAGUAGCUCCUGCAGGUCUUCACAAAUGAUGCCUGGUCCUCUGGGAAGCAAAAGCCAACCCUUUGGCUCUAGGCUCAAAGAGCUGACUCAGGGAAGAGUUGAUUCUUCAGCUGUGGCCUCUGGUACUCCCUUAGAGGCUUUCCUAGCUGGUCAGGAUGCCCCGUGCUGCCAGGGACCCUCAAGCCCCUCAAGCCUCACUGAUCUGGUGACACUUUGAAGCACCUCAUCUUCCCCCAGACAACAUCUUAGGACUCUUCUAGCCAGACACAUGCUAUCCUGCAAGUGAGCCUAGCAGUGGCAGAUGACGUCAGCUCUGGGCCAGCCCCUGAAGGAGGCAGAUCAAAUUGUCCAGACCCCAGAGGUAGCCGUCCUCACGGUUGCCCUCUGUCCAAGGCAGCCUGUGACUGAGCAUCUGGUGGUCAGGCAGGGCCACUGUCUUGCCGAAGUCAAUCAUCCAGACCUUGGCCAGGCCAGUGUGGUCAUGCACAAAGAGAAGGGAACUGCCCACUACCUGCAGCAGAGAGUGAGAGAAAAGCAGUUAGAGAAAGGAGCAAGCACUAGCUAAUGUAUUUCCCGGUGAGCAGUAAACAGGGUGGUAAGACAGCAGAAACUCUGGAAUGAGGCUACCCACGUUCAAAUCCUGACUCUGAUUCUACAUAAACAGAAUAAUUGUAUAAUUACAUGUAAUGGGCAUAAAUCAUUUCAAAUGGUUCCUGAAACACAACAAAUACACAAUGAAUGUUAGAAUUUGUGUGUGUGUGUCCAUGCAUGAGUACACCCAAAGGAUGGCCCAGAGACUCCGAUAACCUAAGCAAAUAAGCAGGAGUUCACAGGGGAGCUACACCCCUAGGCCCUGUCACCUUCACUUUCUAGCCCUCACUUCUUUGUUUGACAGGGUCUUAGUCCCAGAUGUUCCUGAGCUACCUAGACAGUCCAGGAUGUCCUUGAACUCCAGAUCGUCCUGCCUCUAUAGCGUCCUACAUGGUUUGUGUUAACAAGGUCUCCUCCUACAGGCCAGACUGGCCUGCCUCCCAGCCUUCCUGCUUUUUCCUCCUCCUCCUCCGUGCUAACAGUGUGAGCCACCAGCACACUGGGCUAUUUGCGGUCAUCAUUUCUUAAUCUACUUCACAAGCUCAAAUGUAGUCUCAGCCUUGACCGAGUUAGUGAACUGAGACUGGACAGCAGACCUGGAGAACUUUGCUAGAUUAAGACAGUAGUUUCUUAGGCCUACUGGACUGUGGCUGAUGAUGUUAGACAAGUGGCUUCCUUCCUCUGGCCUUGGUGUCCUGUCUGUACGAUGGGGAAGUCGGUAACCCUCUACCUCCUGGGGUCACCAGAAGAACCCUACAAGCCACAGGCUCCUCAAGUGCCUCCCAGUAUCUGCCUUGAAGUCCUCCUUAGUGGGUGCUGUCAGUGGAGCUUCUAUUUACUUGUUUGAGAGACAGCCAUUGCUGAGCAGGUGUGGUACAUCCACAAUCCAAGCACUGGGGAGGCAGAUGAAGGACAGCCAUAAGCUUGAGGUCAGCCUGGGCUGCACAUGAGUUCUGGGCCUGCCGAAGUCCUGCCGAAGCUAACAGAGUAAACUUGCCUCAAAACAAAGUCACUAAGCCAGCCAUGGUGAUACACUGCCUUUAAUCCCAGCACACAUAGGCAGGUGAAUGUAUAUGAGCUCAAGGCUAGCCUGGGCUACAAAGUGAACAGAUGGGCUAGUGAGACGAAAGGCACUUGCCACCCAACCUGAUGACCCAAGCUGAGUUUGAUUCCUGGGACCCACACAGUGGAGAGAAGAUUCCCCCAUAAGUUGUCCUCUAACCUCCAGUACCUGUCUGGACUGCUAGACCUUGUGAGCCUUAACCUGAGGCAGGAGAAUUAAAAGUCCAAGGCCUGUAGCCUAGACUACAGAGUGAGCUCUUGAGUGUGUCGAGCUUUUGGGGCAGCUUCUAGAAAUUUGGCAGGAAUUUGACAUUGGGCCAGGACAUGGAAGUAAGCUCAGGCAGGAAUCUGAUUUGGGGCUAGAACAAAGAAGUAGGCUUUAGGCAAGAAUUUGACUUUGGACUAGGACUGGUAAGUAGGCUCAGACAUCUUGGUCAUCCUGAUGAGCCUCUAGAAACGGUGACCACAGGGCUUUGUUACCUUGCUUGUUGCUUAACCUGUAACUGACCUUAUUAUCUGCACGUAAUUAAAAUGCUAUAAAAGCAGACUAGGGAAAAAUAAACCCGCUUCAGCCUCAGAACUGGCUGAGGUCACGC